GGCUGUUAUAUUUUAAUUGUGUAAUAAGCGUUUCCUAAACGCUUGAUAUGGGUUCGAUUCCCGUCGGAGUCA
This 72-nucleotide transfer RNA is filed under the name Runella salmonicolor. RNAcentral's name for it is "tRNA-Arg". It matches the Rfam family "tRNA". Rfam says of the family: Transfer RNA (tRNA) molecules are approximately 80 nucleotides in length. The record is from RNAcentral. Lineage: Bacteria; Pseudomonadati; Bacteroidota; Cytophagia; Cytophagales; Spirosomataceae.